UUUUUGAUUAUAAUUUAAAGUCUAAUCUGCCCACUGAUAAAAUUAUUAAAGGGCUGCAGUAUUUUGACUGUACAAAGGUAGCAUAAUCAUUUGUCUCUUAAUUGGUGACUUGUAUGAAAGAUUGGAUGAAAAAUAAACUGUCUCAUUAUAAUAAAUAAAAUUUAAUUUUUUAGUAAAAAAGCUAAGAUAUUUUUAAAAGACGAGAAGACCCUAUAGAGUUUGAUAAUUAAUUAAAUUUAAAUUUAGUAUAAAAAUUAAAAUUUGAAUUUAUUUAAUUAUUUUGUUGGGGUGAUAGAAAAAUUAAAUUAACUUUUUUUUAAUUUAUACAUGAAUAAGUGAGUAAAUGAUCCAUUAAUAAUGAUUAGAAGAAAAAAUUACCUUAGGGAUAACAGCGUAAUUUUUUUUCUUAGGUCAAAUAAGAAAAAGAGUUUGCGACCUCGAUGUUGGAUUAAGAUAAAAUUUUGAUGUAAAAGUUUAAAUUUUUGAUCUGUUCGAUCAUUAAAA
RNAcentral lists this ribosomal RNA (504 nucleotides) under Troides magellanus. Its description in RNAcentral is "partial 16S ribosomal RNA". Lineage: Eukaryota; Metazoa; Arthropoda; Insecta; Lepidoptera; Papilionidae. The record is from RNAcentral.